AUUUUUUUGCAUGAGCGAAAAAAAGUUUGUGAAGAUGUGCUUCGCCAUUAGAUUUUGAUUUAGCGUUCUUUUCUUGUCCAUUUUAAUAACAGUAUUUUCGUUUUAAAUUAAGUGCAGUUACAAUUUAAGUCAAGGAACGUUCCUUAGAGCUUUACAUUUUAAAAAAAUAUUUGCUCGUAAUUUUUACUUUUUUUUUUAUUGUGUGUUCAAUCUUAUUGAGACGUGCUACCAUGAAUGCACUGAUCAAAUAUAGCAUGAUAUUUAACAUGUUUGAGUUUUAAAAGAGUAUCGUACUGUGCUCUCAUUGUAAACAAGUGCCGAUUCGUCGUGUCAUUUCAUGUACAGUUACAUGAAUGGCAUAUUAACGGGCAAGAAGAUAUCAAAAUAUCUGACAAGGUUUCUGAAACCAUCUUGCAUCACUCCUGUGUAUUUCGAGGAUGAUGAACAGCAAAACCAUAUACCUUUCAUAUACCUUAAAGAUUCCUUGACAGGACCCCUACUGUUCUGUUCAUUCUUGGUGUAUUGAUGCCAGAGUACUACAAAGUGUAUAUGUGCGUUUUUAUUUUUAUAUAGGCCUAGUAUUUAUACAUUUUAUUGAUUUGUUUUAUAUAAAUCAUUGUCUUAAAAUAAAUGUUUCAACUUCAAA
Paramormyrops kingsleyae is the source of this 646-nucleotide non-coding RNA. Lineage: Eukaryota; Metazoa; Chordata; Actinopteri; Osteoglossiformes; Mormyridae. The record is from RefSeq and is a predicted model, not a curated record.